AGCGGAACCCUAGAAACUGUACCUACCAGCCAGUUUGAUCACUGUAACCAGCAGUCUGUUUCGUUCGCGGUUCGAAACGGUGCAAUAACCUUGUUUUAAAGAUAUUUUAAGCCUUUAUCAUGACAUACGCAUUUUUAAUAGUUGCUACUAUAGCUAUAUCAUUCAAGUUGUUAUUUCUUGGUUUCUCGUUAGUGAUUACUUAUAAACACAGCAAAACCGAGGCUAAGACCGAUGUACAGUCAAAGCAAAUUAGCAACGACUCGUUAUGCGCAUGGAAAAGAAUUUCACGUCUUUUUGUACGAAAACUAUCCUAUAGCCCGGAAACCUACAAUAAUAUCACUGGCUUAAAAUUAUAAAAAAUACUGAAAUUGUUCAUUCAAACUUGUGAUGAUUAAAUAUGUAAAAUUAAAAAAUUAUAUAUUUAUAUUUUGCAA
Melitaea cinxia (Glanville fritillary) is the source of this 434-nucleotide long non-coding RNA. RefSeq lists it as uncharacterized. The record is from RefSeq and is a predicted model, not a curated record. The transcript is spliced from 2 exons. Lineage: Eukaryota; Metazoa; Arthropoda; Insecta; Lepidoptera; Nymphalidae.